RNAcentral lists this long non-coding RNA (948 nucleotides) under Phoenix dactylifera (date palm). RNAcentral describes it as "long non-coding RNA (PDAC_LNC002280)". Lineage: Eukaryota; Viridiplantae; Streptophyta; Magnoliopsida; Arecales; Arecaceae. The record is from RNAcentral.
AUCUCGAUCCCGAUCCCGGCCCUUGUCCCUCUCCCGGUGCCUCUCCCCGUUCCGCUCCUUCCCCCUUUCGCGAUCUCCUCUCCUGGAAUCCUCCUUCCUAUCGGAGGCAUCUCCUCUCCUCGAUGAUCUCUGCUUACCCUCCUCCAUGCGGUCCUCCAUCCGCCAAAAACUAUCGGAUCGACCGAACCCUAGAGAUAGUUUACCUGCUGCCCUAACCUCGAAGGAAGAAGAAAAGAAACAAGAAAUUAGAGAACCCUAGAGGGAACAGGCAGCCCCAGACGCGAGGGGUGGGGAUUGGCGCUGGGGUUGGAUUCUUUCCGAACUGGGUCGGCCCGGUAUAAAUACCACAAAGUCGGCGUACACGAUUCAGACUGACCGCAUGACAACGGCCUGUCCUGCCCGCUAUGGAUUCUAGCCAUUUGGUAAUCCUGACAACUAGGGCCAUCAAUCCAACCAUUUGACUCGGACCCAACAUCAUCCUGACCAAAACCCAUGACCAAUUAAUGGGUUUCAAAAUUAAACUAUUAAAAAUUGUAGCUCGAAUUUAUGUUUGAGGUUUUUAAACCCAAUCCAGCCCAACUCGAUACCGGCUAACUACCUAAUUUAUUUAUAUAAAUUAUUAAUUUUAUUUAAUAUAUCCUUCAACUUCUAGACUCUUGGCAUAUAAAAUUAAUUAUUUUAUGUUAUAAAAUCUUUGAAUAAUUAUACUUAACUUUAUAUAUAUAUAUAUAAUAUAUCUUUUCUAUUUUUUUUCUUUGUCAAUCACUAUCAUAAGGUUGACUGCUAAGUACUUGUUGAUCAUCAUUCAAUUUUUCAAGUAUGUAACUGGGUGUUUUGCAGGCAAAAAUCUCAAAAGUGCGAAUGCUCGUAGCUUGAUUAAUAGUUCGAGAUAUGUAAUUUUGUAUCCCAUAAGAAUCUAGACUUCAUACAUCUUAACUCAAACACAAA